RNAcentral lists this ribosomal RNA (485 nucleotides) under uncultured bacterium. Its description in RNAcentral is "partial 16S ribosomal RNA". It matches the Rfam family "Bacterial small subunit ribosomal RNA", at positions 29 to 523 of the family's 1533-position model. The record is from RNAcentral.
AGUGAACGCUGGCGGCGUGCUUAACACAUGCAAGUCGAACGAGAACGGAAUAUAGCUUGCUAUAUUUGUCAGCUAAGUGGCGCACGGGUGAGUAAUGUAUAGAUAACCUGCCCUCUAGAAAGGAAUAACAGUUGGAAACGACUGCUAAUGCCCUAUAUGCCUUUAAUACAUAAGUAUGCAAGGGAAACGCUUUAGUGCUAGAGGAUGGGUCUGUAUGGUAUCAGCUUGUUGGUGAGGUAAUGGCUCACCAAGGCUAUGACGCCUAACUGGUUUGAGAGGAUGAUCAGGCACACUGGAACUGAGACACGGUCCAGACUCCUACGGGAGGCAGCAGUGGGGAAUAUUGCACAAUGGACGAAAGUCUGAUGCAGCAACGCCGCGUGGAGGAUGACACAUUUCGGUGCGUAAACUCCUUUUAUAUAGGAAGAUAAUGACGGUACUAUAUGAAUAAGCACCGGCUAACUCCGUGCCAGCCGCCGCGGUAA